AGGGGCGUAUCUCAAAGGCAGAGUGACGGUCUCCAAAACCGUUAAUGGGAGUUCGAAUCUCUCCGCCCCUG
This 71-nucleotide transfer RNA is filed under the name Planctomycetia bacterium. RNAcentral describes it as "tRNA-Trp". It matches the Rfam family "tRNA". From Rfam's summary of the family: Transfer RNA (tRNA) molecules are approximately 80 nucleotides in length. Their secondary structure includes four short double-helical elements and three loops (D, anti-codon, and T loops). The record is from RNAcentral. Lineage: Bacteria; Pseudomonadati; Planctomycetota; Planctomycetia.